RNAcentral lists this transfer RNA (71 nucleotides) under Pterophyllum scalare (freshwater angelfish). Its description in RNAcentral is "tRNA-Trp". It matches the Rfam family "tRNA". From Rfam's summary of the family: Transfer RNA (tRNA) molecules are approximately 80 nucleotides in length. Their secondary structure includes four short double-helical elements and three loops (D, anti-codon, and T loops). Further hydrogen bonds mediate the characteristic L-shaped molecular structure. tRNAs have two regions of fundamental functional importance: the anti-codon, which is responsible for specific mRNA codon recognition, and the 3' end, to which the tRNAs corresponding amino acid is attached (by aminoacyl-tRNA synthetases). tRNAs cope with the degeneracy of the genetic code in two manners: having more than one tRNA (with a specific anti-codon) for a particular amino acid; and 'wobble' base-pairing, i.e. permitting non-standard base-pairing at the 3rd anti-codon position. Lineage: Eukaryota; Metazoa; Chordata; Actinopteri; Cichliformes; Cichlidae. The record is from RNAcentral.
AGGAGCUUAGGUUAACACCAGACCAAGAGCCUUCAAAGCCCUAAGCGAGAGUGAGAAUCUCUCAGCCCCUG